UUGUUAUUUACUCCUACUCUUGAGGAUCUAUACUAUAUUGGUGAUAGUGGAAUAAUCAAGCUAUUCUCUUUUUGAUGUUUUUUUUUGGAUUGUGAUUGACUAAGAAUAUUGGUCUUGUUUAUUAAUAUGUGAUGUGCUUUAAAAUCCUACUACCAUACUGGUAUUACCCUGUUGCUAGUAAUUUGUUAUUUGGGUUGAUACAAAAAAAAAAAAAAAAACAAAACAAAACAUGA
This 233-nucleotide long non-coding RNA is filed under the name Helianthus annuus (common sunflower). RNAcentral describes it as "hypothetical non coding rna". Lineage: Eukaryota; Viridiplantae; Streptophyta; Magnoliopsida; Asterales; Asteraceae. The record is from RNAcentral.